GCCUGGCUGGUUCAGUUGGAAGAGCAUGAGACUCUUGAUCUCAGGGCUAUGAAUUUGAGCCCCAUGUUGGGUG
RNAcentral lists this transfer RNA (73 nucleotides) under Ailuropoda melanoleuca (giant panda). It matches the Rfam family "tRNA". From Rfam's summary of the family: Transfer RNA (tRNA) molecules are approximately 80 nucleotides in length. Their secondary structure includes four short double-helical elements and three loops (D, anti-codon, and T loops). Further hydrogen bonds mediate the characteristic L-shaped molecular structure. tRNAs have two regions of fundamental functional importance: the anti-codon, which is responsible for specific mRNA codon recognition, and the 3' end, to which the tRNAs corresponding amino acid is attached (by aminoacyl-tRNA synthetases). tRNAs cope with the degeneracy of the genetic code in two manners: having more than one tRNA (with a specific anti-codon) for a particular amino acid; and 'wobble' base-pairing, i.e. permitting non-standard base-pairing at the 3rd anti-codon position. Lineage: Eukaryota; Metazoa; Chordata; Mammalia; Carnivora; Ursidae. The record is from Rfam by way of RNAcentral.